UGGGGAAUAUUGCACAAUGGGCGAAAGCCUGAUGCAGCAACGCCGCGUGAGUGAUGAAGGCCUUCGGGUUGUAAAGCUCUGUCUUUUGGGACGAUAAUGACGGUACCAAAGGAGGAAGCCACGGCUAACUACGUGCCAGCAGCCGCGGUAAUACGUAGGUGGCAAGCGUUGUCCGGAUUUACUGGGCGUAAAGGAUGCGUAGGCGGACUUUUAAGUGAGAUGUGAAAUACCCGGGCUUAACUUGGGUGCUGCAUUUCAAACUGGGAAUCUAGAGUGCGGGAGAGGAGAAUGGAAUUCCUAGUGUAGCGGUGAAAUGCGUAGAGAUUAGGAAGAACACCAGUGGCGAAGGCGAUUCUCUGGACCGUAACUGACGCUGAGGCAUGAAAGCGUGGGUAGCAAACAGGAUUAGAUACCCUGGUAGUCCACGCCGUAAACGAUGAGUACUAGGUGUAGGAGGUAUCGACCCCUUCUGUGCCGCAGUUAACACAAUCAAGUACUCCGCCUGGGAAGUACGAUCGCAAGAUUAAAACUUAAAUGAAUUGACGGGGUCAUAGCUG
Molecule: ribosomal RNA, 557 nt
Filed under: uncultured bacterium
Lineage: Bacteria
Description: partial 16S ribosomal RNA
Rfam family: Bacterial small subunit ribosomal RNA
Source: RNAcentral